GACGAACGCUGGCGGCGUGCCUAGUACAUGCAAGUCGAACGAACCGCGACUGAGUGCUUGCACUUGGUCAAGGUGAGUGGCGAACGGGUGAGUAACACGUGGGUAACCUACCUCAUAGUGGGGGAUAACAGUCGGAAACGACUGCUAAUACCGCAUAGGACAUGGGAUCACAUGAUUCUGCGAGGAAAGGUGGCGCAAGCUAUCGCUAAGAGAUGGACCCGCGGUGCAUUAGCUAGUUGGUAGGGUAAGGGCCUACCAAGGCGAUGAUGCAUAGCCGACCUGAGAGGGUGAUCGGCCACAUUGGGACUGAGACACGGCCCAAACUCCUACGGGAGGCAGCAGUAGGGAAUCUUCCGCAAUGGUCGCAAGUCUGACGGAGCAACGCUGCGUGAGUGAAGAAGGUCUUCGGAUCGUAAAGCUCUGUUGUUAGAGAAGAACAGCGCAUAGAGUAACUGUUAUGCGUGUGACGGUAUCUAACCAGAAAGCCACGGCUAACUACGUGC
RNAcentral lists this ribosomal RNA (503 nucleotides) under uncultured Abiotrophia sp. RNAcentral describes it as "bacterial SSU rRNA". It matches the Rfam family "Bacterial small subunit ribosomal RNA", at positions 28 to 508 of the family's 1533-position model. The record is from RNAcentral. Lineage: Bacteria; Bacillati; Bacillota; Bacilli; Lactobacillales; Aerococcaceae.